UUUCCUACGGGAGGCAGCAGUGAGGAAUAUUGGUCAAUGGGCGGGAGCCUGAACCAGCCAAGUCGCGUGAGGGAAGACGGUCCUAUGGAUUGUAAACCUCUUUAGGCGGGGAGCAAUGCCGGGCACGCGUGCCCGGAGGGAGAGUACCCGCAGAAUAAGCAUCGGCUAACUCCGUGCCAGCAGCCGCGGUAAUACGGAGGAUGCGAGCGUUAUCCGGAUUUAUUGGGUUUAAAGGGUGCGUAGGCGGAUUUUUAAGUCAGCGGUCAAAUCGUGGGGCUCAACCCCAUCCAGCCGUUGAAACUGGG
This 305-nucleotide ribosomal RNA is filed under the name uncultured bacterium. RNAcentral's name for it is "bacterial SSU rRNA". It matches the Rfam family "Bacterial small subunit ribosomal RNA", at positions 335 to 637 of the family's 1533-position model. The record is from RNAcentral.